GAUGAACGCUAGCUACAGGCUUAACACAUGCAAGUCGAGGGACCGGCGCACGGGUGAGUAACACGUAUCCAACCUGCCCUUUACUCGGGGAUAGCCUUUAGAAAGAAAGAUUAAUACCCGUUAUAAAGGAUGGGGAUGCGUAUCAUUAGGUUGUGGGUGAGGGAACGGCUGACCAAGCCUUCGAUGUAUAGGGGUUCUGAGAGGAAGGUCCCCCGCAUUGGGACUCAGUCACGUGCCAAACGCCUGCGUGAGGCAGCAGUGAUGAAUAUUUGUCAAAGGGCCUUAGGCUGCACCGGCCAGGUAGCGAUAAGGAUGAAGGCUUGUGGGUCGUAGACUUCUUUUAUAUAAGAAUGUGUAUUAUAUAAAUAAGGAUCGGCUAACUCCGUGCCAGCGGCCGCGUAAUAC
RNAcentral lists this ribosomal RNA (405 nucleotides) under uncultured bacterium. RNAcentral's name for it is "partial 16S ribosomal RNA". It matches the Rfam family "Bacterial small subunit ribosomal RNA", at positions 28 to 526 of the family's 1533-position model. The record is from RNAcentral.